UGUAGGAGUGAGCCUGCUCGCGAUAGCGUUGUGUCAGUCUCCAAACAUGGCGACUGGUGCGCCGCCAUCGCGAGCAGGCUCACUCCUACA
This 90-nucleotide unclassified non-coding RNA is filed under the name Pseudomonas moraviensis. Lineage: Bacteria; Pseudomonadati; Pseudomonadota; Gammaproteobacteria; Pseudomonadales; Pseudomonadaceae. The record is from RNAcentral.